CGGGAUGUAGUUCAGUUGGCUAGAACGCUCGCUUUGGGAGCGAGAGGUCGCCGGUUCGAGUCCGGCCAUCCCGA
This 74-nucleotide transfer RNA is filed under the name Candidatus Kerfeldbacteria bacterium RIFCSPLOWO2_01_FULL_48_11. Its description in RNAcentral is "tRNA-Pro". It matches the Rfam family "tRNA". From Rfam's summary of the family: Transfer RNA (tRNA) molecules are approximately 80 nucleotides in length. Their secondary structure includes four short double-helical elements and three loops (D, anti-codon, and T loops). Further hydrogen bonds mediate the characteristic L-shaped molecular structure. tRNAs have two regions of fundamental functional importance: the anti-codon, which is responsible for specific mRNA codon recognition, and the 3' end, to which the tRNAs corresponding amino acid is attached (by aminoacyl-tRNA synthetases). tRNAs cope with the degeneracy of the genetic code in two manners: having more than one tRNA (with a specific anti-codon) for a particular amino acid; and 'wobble' base-pairing, i.e. permitting non-standard base-pairing at the 3rd anti-codon position. Lineage: Bacteria; Candidatus Kerfeldiibacteriota. The record is from RNAcentral.